AGACAGGAGUGCGAAGGAGCCAUUGCACCAGUUACAACCAGGAGACUGGGUGGUCAUACGAGACCUAAAAAAAGGAAACACUGGAAGCAGAAACGCUGGACGGGCCCGCACUUGAUACUAUUGGUCACCCACACCGCGGUGAAGGUCGAGGGUCGAGGAACGUGGGUGCACGCAAGCCACUGCAGAAAGCUGCCCUCUUGCGGCAGUGACCAGCCCUCUCCUUCGACACCAGGCGCCACUGGGGUCCAGACGACGAAGGAAACUUAAGGACGAGAUGACUGGACACAGGAUGGCCAGUAGCAGAACCAGUAGAAGACACUGUCAUGGGUCGCGCAGCACUAGAAUGUAUGCUACAAGACAAGAGCAUAAUAGUCAUGGGACCCACCAUUUAGCAACCUCCAUUUUGAGUCUGAAUAAUGAUCACUACAGGUGGAAAUCUCUCAAAGAAGAGCCUGUGGUGUGAUGAAACCUGUCAGAGGAUAAAAGGAGUGGAAUGUUAGGGAAAAUAAAAUAUAAUCAUUUCUGUGUGCAGUAUGUGUACAAUAUAAUCAAAUGUUUUCUAUUCGCAAGAGACGCUUUAAGGCCGACAGCCCUCACUUACAGUAAUUCACAAUAGCUGUUUUGUUCUAACCAUGAGUGAAUUGAAAGAUCACGACAAGUGAGAGAAUGAUAAAAACCCUGCUUAGCAAGCCAUGGCAAAAUGAGUCAUUUGUCUUAGUACAAAUGUCAUGUGUUUCACUAACAGCAUUAUAUUUACUCAUGUUGUCUGUACUAUUUGCCAAGUUAGCAGAAUUGAGAGAAAGAUUAGAGUAAAUGACGAAUGUUUAUCCUCUUGUGGUUUCCUCACCUUCUUUGAGAGUGACAGACAGCCCCAAUAGGACACUCUACUCAGAAGACCAAUAGAGUCAAUCACUGAUUCUACGAAUUAGGGAACAUUAAACAUAAAAUGGCCACGAUUCUGCGAAAAGAGAUUAUUUCUGGACACGAAUGUACGUGCAGAGGG
This is a long non-coding RNA of Cyprinus carpio carpio, 1003 nucleotides long. The record is from Ensembl. NCBI's taxonomy places the organism in Eukaryota, Metazoa, Chordata, Actinopteri, Cypriniformes, Cyprinidae.